UGGGGAAUAUUGGACAAUGGGCGAAAGCCUGAUCCAGCAACGCCGCGUGGAGGAUGAAGGCCCUCGGGUCGUAAACUCCUGUCAGGUGGGACGAAAAGGUGUCGGUAAAUAGCCGGCGCCGUUGACGGUACCGCCAGAAGAAGCCCCGGCUAACUCCGUGCCAGCAGCCGCGGUAAUACGGAGGGGGCUAGCGUUGUUCGGAAUUACUGGGCGUAAAGCGGGUGUAGGCGGAUCUUUAAGUCGGGGGUGAAAGCCCUGGGCUCAACCCAGGAAUUGCCUUCGAUACUGGAGAUCUCGAGUCUAGGAGAGGUGAGCGGAAUUCCGAGUGUAGAGGUGAAAUUCGUAGAUAUUCGGAGGAACACCAGAGGCGAAGGCGGCUCACUGGACUAGUACUGACGCUGAGACCCGAAAGCGUGGGGAGCAA
RNAcentral lists this ribosomal RNA (424 nucleotides) under uncultured bacterium. Its description in RNAcentral is "bacterial SSU rRNA". It matches the Rfam family "Bacterial small subunit ribosomal RNA", at positions 355 to 771 of the family's 1533-position model. The record is from RNAcentral.